Molecule: ribosomal RNA, 195 nt
Filed under: uncultured Glomus
Lineage: Eukaryota; Fungi; Glomeromycota; Glomeromycetes; Glomerales; Glomeraceae
Description: partial small subunit ribosomal RNA
Rfam family: Eukaryotic small subunit ribosomal RNA
Source: RNAcentral
GCAAGUCUGGUGCCAGCAGCCGCGGUAAUUCCAGCUCAAUAGCGUAUAUUAAAGUUGUGCAGUUAAAAAGCUCGUAGUUGAAUUUCGGGAUCAGUAUUGUCGGUCGUGCCUCGGUACUGUACUGGUGUUAUUGGAUCCUCACCUUCUGAAGAACCGCUGUAUGUCAUAAUUUGGUGUCGCGGGAAUCAUGACGUU